GCCUGCAUAGCUCAGUCGGUACAGCGUUAGGCUUUUAACCUAAAUGUCCAGGAUUCGAGUCACUGUUCGGACG
Molecule: non-coding RNA, 73 nt
Organism: Caerostris darwini
Lineage: Eukaryota; Metazoa; Arthropoda; Arachnida; Araneae; Araneidae
Source: the annotation of a GenBank genome assembly